This 1486-nucleotide ribosomal RNA is filed under the name Weissella confusa. RNAcentral describes it as "bacterial SSU rRNA". It matches the Rfam family "Bacterial small subunit ribosomal RNA". Lineage: Bacteria; Bacillati; Bacillota; Bacilli; Lactobacillales; Lactobacillaceae. The record is from RNAcentral.
GAGUUUGAUCCUGGCUCAGGAUGAACGCUGGCGGCGUGCCUAAUACAUGCAAGUCGAACGCUUUGUGGUUCAACUGAUUUGAAGAGCUUGCUCAGAUAUGACGAUGGACAUUGCAAAGAGUGGCGAACGGGUGAGUAACACGUGGGAAACCUACCUCUUAGCAGGGGAUAACAUUUGGAAACAGAUGCUAAUACCGUAUAACAAUGACAACCGCAUGGUUGUUAUUUAAAAGAUGGUUCUGCUAUCACUAAGAGAUGGUCCCGCGGUGCAUUAGCUAGUUGGUAAGGUAAUGGCUUACCAAGGCGAUGAUGCAUAGCCGAGUUGAGAGACUGAUCGGCCACAAUGGGACUGAGACACGGCCCAUACUCCUACGGGAGGCAGCAGUAGGGAAUCUUCCACAAUGGGCGAAAGCCUGAUGGAGCAACGCCGCGUGUGUGAUGAAGGGUUUCGGCUCGUAAAACACUGUUGUAAGAGAAGAAUGACAUUGAGAGUAACUGUUCAAUGUGUGACGGUAUCUUACCAGAAAGGAACGGCUAAAUACGUGCCAGCAGCCGCGGUAAUACGUAUGUUCCAAGCGUUAUCCGGAUUUAUUGGGCGUAAAGCGAGCGCAGACGGUUAUUUAAGUCUGAAGUGAAAGCCCUCAGCUCAACUGAGGAAUUGCUUUGGAAACUGGAUGACUUGAGUGCAGUAGAGGAAAGUGGAACUCCAUGUGUAGCGGUGAAAUGCGUAGAUAUAUGGAAGAACACCAGUGGCGAAGGCGGCUUUCUGGACUGUAACUGACGUUGAGGCUCGAAAGUGUGGGUAGCAAACAGGAUUAGAUACCCUGGUAGUCCACACCGUAAACGAUGAGUGCUAGGUGUUUGAGGGUUUCCGCCCUUAAGUGCCGCAGCUAACGCAUUAAGCACUCCGCCUGGGGAGUACGACCGCAAGGUUGAAACUCAAAGGAAUUGACGGGGACCCGCACAAGCGGUGGAGCAUGUGGUUUAAUUCGAAGCAACGCGAAGAACCUUACCAGGUCUUGACAUCCCUUGACAACUCCAGAGAUGGAGCGUUCCCUUCGGGGACAAGGUGACAGGUGGUGCAUGGUUGUCGUCAGCUCGUGUCGUGAGAUGUUGGGUUAAGUCCCGCAACGAGCGCAACCCUUAUUACUAGUUGCCAGCAUUCAGUUGGGCACUCUAGUGAGACUGCCGGUGACAAACCGGAGGAAGGUGGGGAUGACGUCAAAUCAUCAUGCCCCUUAUGACCUGGGCUACACACGUGCUACAAUGGCGUAUACAACGAGUUGCCAACCCGCGAGGGUGAGCUAAUCUCUUAAAGUACGUCUCAGUUCGGAUUGUAGGCUGCAACUCGCCUACAUGAAGUCGGAAUCGCUAGUAAUCGCGGAUCAGCACGCCGCGGUGAAUACGUUCCCGGGUCUUGUACACMCCGCCCGUCACMCCAUGAGAGUUUGUAACACCCAAAGCCGGUGGGGUAACCUUCGGGAGCC